CCUGGCUCAGAAUCAACGCUGCGGCGUGCCUCAGACAUGCAAGUCGAACGAGAAAGUCCCCUUCGGGGGAUAAGUAAAGUGGCGCACGGGUGAGUAACACGUAGGUAAUCUACCUUCGGGUGGGGAAUAACCCAGGGAAACUUGGGCUAACACCGCAUAAUGCAGCGGCACCACAUGGUGACAGUUGUUAAAGCGGGGGAUUUUAGGACCUCGCGCCUGAAGAGGAGCCUGCGGCGGAUUAGCUAGUUGGUAAGGUAACGGCUUACCAAGGCGACGAUCCGUAGCCGGCCUGAGAGGGCGGUCGGCCACACUGACACUGACAUACGGGUCAGACUCCUACGGG
RNAcentral lists this ribosomal RNA (343 nucleotides) under uncultured Acidobacteriota bacterium. Its description in RNAcentral is "bacterial SSU rRNA". It matches the Rfam family "Bacterial small subunit ribosomal RNA", at positions 18 to 345 of the family's 1533-position model. The record is from RNAcentral. Lineage: Bacteria; Pseudomonadati; Acidobacteriota.